AAAUGAUUGCCUUUGGAUUCAUGAAAGAAAAUUCUAUCCAGAGAAGGGCCAAAAAGCAAUCUAUAAAGGGUGGAACUCAAUCAAGUUCUCGUGACAAGAUCUGAGAUAGAUCCUUCCAUGCCAUACCAAAGAACUGUCUCCAAGGGAAAGGACUUUACAAGAGUCUUAUCCCAGCUGGGGGAGAGCAUUCCUCCUUUAUGACCCUCUAACUUUUCUGUCUCAGCUGCGGUUGUGGUGGGGAACAGGAAACUAUACCCUGGAUCAACACUUAUGAAGGUCACAACCCUGAACACAGGCCCACUGAAGACCAAGAUUUAAUCAUAAGAUUAUAAAAUGCUUCUUUUCUGCAACACCUCCCCACUGUAUUAAGAGGUUUCUAGUGUAGUAACAAUGGAUUCCAGCUGAAAGCGCUGCAAGACACAAACUCUGAGGAAGAAUACUUAGGGAAGGCCAAAAUCAGAAGGAGAGACAAAAACAAGGACAUUAGAAGAAUUUGAAGUUUCUGGCACUUACAGCUUCAGAAAACAUUAAGCCCAGCCCACUUCUUAGCCAGAUUUAUAUAAAUCAUCACCCAUAAGAUGAUUUAAAUAAAUCCUUUGUAUAAAAUCAU
This 610-nucleotide long non-coding RNA is filed under the name Mustela putorius furo (domestic ferret). RNAcentral's name for it is "lncRNA (ENSMPUG00000030963.1)". The record is from RNAcentral. Lineage: Eukaryota; Metazoa; Chordata; Mammalia; Carnivora; Mustelidae.